GACUAAUAUUAACAAAAAGAGUUUAAUCCUGGCUCCGGAUGAACGUUUUAGAUUAGCUUAACACAUGCAAGUUAAACUUGAUUUAUCAAGUAGCAAACGGGUGAGUAAUAUGCGGAUAUAACUUUUUUAUUUUGUGUAUAAUAAAAUUAAUUGGUAAAAAAAAGUCUGCACAGGAUUAGAUUUUUGGGUAACUAAAAUUACUCAAGUCAAUGAUCCUUAGUUGGUCUUUGAGGAUGAACAACCACACUGGGAUUGAGAUAAGGCCCAAACUUAAUUUUUUAAGGCAGCAGUGGGGAAUCUUGGGCAAUGGACAAAAGUUUGACCCAGCUAAAUCUAGUGUGUGACAAAAAUUAAUAAUUGUAAAACACUGUUUUAAUAUAAAUUAUGAGGUAUUAGUAUAAGUCCUGGCUAAUUUCGUGCCAGCAGCCGCGGUAAAACGAAGAGGGCAAGCGUUAUACAAAUUUAUUGGGUGUAAAGGAUGAGUAGGUUGUCAAUUAAGUAGUAGUUCAAAAUUAAAAAUUCAUUUUUUAGAAAGCUGCUAUACUAAUUUUCUUGAGUUUAACAAAAGGUUGAAGAAUUUCAAGUGUAACAGUAAAAUGUAAUAAUAUUCGAAGGAAUCUCAAUCGCGAAGGCAUUAACCUAUGUUAUACUGACGCUAAGUUAUUAAAGUAUAGGUAUCAAAAGGGAUUAGAUACCCCCGUAGUCUAUACUAUGAACAAUGAGCGCUAACUUUAUUUUUUUAAAGUAUAGUAAACACGUUAAGCGCUCCACCUGGGAAGUAUGAUCGCAAGAUUAAAACCCAAAGGAAUUGACGGGAACUUGCACAAGCAGUGGAGCAUGUGGUUUAAAUCGACAAUCCGCGCAGAAUCUUACCAAUUUUUGUAUAUGUUUACAGGUGUUGCAUGGCUGUCGUCAGUCCGUGCUGUGAAGCGUUUGAUUAAUUUCAACGAACGGACGAAACUUUUGUUUAUUAGUUAUUAAAUAAUAAAGACUGACAAAGAUAUUUUGUAGGAAGGGAAAAACGACGUCAAGUCCUCAUGACCCUUAUAAAUUGGGCUACUUUCAUGUGCUACUAUAGUAUAAUCAAUAAAAAACAAUAUUUGUAAAUUAUUGUAGGUAAAAAGUAUACUUUUGGAUUGUUUUCUGCAACUCGAAAACAUGAAAAUGGAAUUGCUAGUAAUCGUGAAUUAGAAUUGUCACGGUGAAUUGUUCUCAGGUUUUGUACACACCGCCCGUCACACUACGGAAGUUUUAUUUGUUCUAAAAUUUUAAAACGAAAAAAUAACUGAAGUGAAGUCGUAACAAGGUAGCCGUAGGGGAACCUGCGGCUGAAAAAUAAAAUAAAUUUUUACCGUCUU
This 1358-nucleotide ribosomal RNA is filed under the name Hildenbrandia rubra. RNAcentral describes it as "SSU rRNA". It matches the Rfam family "Bacterial small subunit ribosomal RNA". The record is from RNAcentral. Lineage: Eukaryota; Rhodophyta; Florideophyceae; Hildenbrandiales; Hildenbrandiaceae.